UUCGUUUGUGUCCAACGACUAGACCAAGACCGCUUACGGAUCCCCACCUUUAUCAAUACUUCAUAUAUACUCGCAAUAUUCAGAUUGCUUUUAUCAUAUUCUUGCUUGUUCUUCGAUUGCUUGCAGGAAUAGACCUUCGUGGUCAGGUUGAUCGUGCUCCGGCGUCGUUAAUAACCUUUCGGAGUUGGUUUAGCGAUUGCUAAGGCGCAACGUCGUGCACGUUUGUAGUCGGAUCGUCAAAGUCAUCUUCACCAAAUCGAUAGUUAUCAUCUCAUCGGAAGAUCGGGACACCCCGUCUCUAUGAAGUGGUAUCAGUUUUCAGGUUGCUCGGUGAGAAUUUCUAGUUUUCCCUAGAUUAGAUUUAUUUUCUUACCUAUUAUCCAAGAAAAAGCCACAAAAAAAGUUAGAUCUGUUCAUCCUUUGUCCAAGCCAGUCUGAGCCUUUGCAAUUUUCUUUUCAUUGUAUGCAUUAUUGAAUUAUCGGUUGCAUCGCCGUGUCGAGUUGCUGGUCUUAGUGUCUAGUUCGUUUAGAGUUUCGAGUUCUGCUCACAUUAGUCACGCCACCGCUGCAUCGUUAUCCCUUCCGCUGUCCACCACCCAUCCAUCAAUUUCCACCACGUGCUACCCAUCGUUCAUGGUCAUAAUCAUAGUUGAGGUCAUUCACAUCUUCGCCUGAUCCAAUCUGCAUCUUAUCUAGUUUGUCUUGGAAAGAGGGAGAAAAAAAGAUAGAGAAAAAAAAGAGAAAGAAAAGUCAGAGACAAAAAAAGAAAAAGGAAAAAAAAGUGUGAGAAAAAAAGAAAGAAGAGAAAAAAACAAAAUUUGGAUCUAUCUAGACUCAAUCUUGUAGUUGAAUUCAGACUGGAAUCUGUUUUGUGCACUGUUCAGUAAAAAAGGCAUAACUUCCUCAUACGAACUCUGUUUUGGCUCCACAAGUACUCAAAUUAAAGCUAGCGACUAGACGCAUCUGAAUAAUUGCAAAAGCUAAUUCAAUAUUUGGCGUCUCAAAAUCAGCUUCUAAAUAGGUCUUUUUCCCUCUGAAGUUUGCGCAUACAGUUUGUUCCAGUUUUUCAGGCCAGUUUUAGAAUUCUUUGACUCCUCAUAUCAAUUCAGAAUUGAGUGAUUCUUUUUGCAUUGGAAAGCUUGAGUUAGUAGCAAACUUUUCAAGAGGAAAUUUGGAGAGAGAGUUGUUAUAUAUCCUGCUUGGCAGUUGUUAUUCAUCAUUAUCUUUACUGCCGUUAUGAUCUUCACUUAUAUCUUGCUGUCCAGAGCUACUUAUCCUUCAUUGAUACUAGUUGUGCUAUGCCGUGACCUCAUUAGUGUUAUAGGCUCGCAUCUAUAGUCCGGUCUAGCCUAGGACCAGCACAGUACCGUCGUUGAGCGUUUAUUCAACAUUGCAUCUUUAAAUUGAUUAUUGCUAAUCUUUUGCUACCAUAUAUAGCCAAUCCAGCUCCACAUAUUUCUACACCGUGUAUACGUACGUUCCCCUGGCAAUCACUUUACAUAAUCUUCGGAGUUAUUUGACACCGCUGGUUGCCUGUCACCACCUAUCGCAUGGUAAGAAAACUUGUAAGAUAUUGAUAUUUGCUUUACUGUGAGCACGUUACAACCACAUCCUAGUUGUUCAUAGGAACAUUAUUCUCGAGUUUUGUUUCUUGUUUCUACUAAUCAUGACAGGUUUCGGAAAAAGAAGUUCUUGGACGACGAACACAUCUUCACCAUCACGAGAGUUGGGACAACACACACAAGCACAUGGUCAGGUUAUCUCUUUACCAUCAUUUGAGGGUAGAUUUAAUCCUGCUAUUUAUCUAGAUUGGGAGCUUGAAGUAGAACAAGUUUUUAGUUACCAUGACUUUUCUGAACUUGAGCGAGUAUGAGCUGCCAUUAGAGCAUUUACUAGUUUUGCUUCUGUUUGGUGGAGUGUGCAUUGUAAGAAAAACAUUGAUAACCAACCCACAACUUGGAAAGAUUUGAAACAUGUAGUGAGACAACAAUUUUUCCCUCCUUACUAUCGUCAUGAAUUGCUUCGCAAAUUCAAACAAUUUAAACAAGGCAAUAACACUGUUCAUGCUUACUACCAAGAGUUCAAAUCUUAUAUGCAUCAUUGUGACAUAGAAGAAUCUGAGGAUGAUACAAUGAAUAGAUUUUUUGGUGGUUUGAACCAUGAUAUUCAGGCAAGAUUUAGGUAUAUUCCUCGUUGCAUUACUGGUAUGUAUGUUCGUGCUUGUACCUUUGAGAGAUAGUUACAGGAGGAUGCAUUGGGUGACUACAACAACUACUAUUCCAAUUCAUGCUCACUACCAUCGGUUGAUUCCUCCACCGUUGAACCUACUAGAGCAGCCACACCUCAGAUUGUGAGUGCGACAUCAUCUCAAGUGUAUGAUACAUUGUCAUUGUCCAUACCGACAUCAGCUACGUCUUUGCGACAACGUAACAGUAAAGGUAUUGAUGAUAUAACUUCACAUGAGAAUGAUGCAUCCCUAAUUAACUUAAAUACAUCAUGUGUUGAGUUACCUGUUGAUUUGAGCACGCCACCUAUUUUAGAGAAUCAUGUUACUAUCAUGAAUGCAUCAUGUGAUCAAACAACUGAAAUACCAACAAUUUUGAGUGCACCCAUUGAAUUAACUAUUGAUGCAAAAGAACCAAUGUUUAAUCAUUUUGAUAUGACCUCUAAUCUUGGUGAUGAUUCUGUGUCCAAUGACUUACUGCAUGUUUGCUUAUUUAAGCAUGUUGUAGCAUGUAAAUGUGAUGCAAGUAAGGUUCUUUCACCAAUGUUGGAAUGGUUUAAUGAUGAAUAUUGUCAAUCUUUUGAUAGGAAUAAGAGCUUCACUUAUAUGUGCAAACUGAGUUGCAAUAUUUUCAUGCCUUCUACUUAUCAUAAUAUUUUGGCUUUAUAUUUUAUGAUCUAUGAAAGUUACUCAUGUAUACAUGUGUCAUAUGUGCAAAAAUCAAGGGAAGUAAAAAUGGAUGACAUAUACAUAUACAACAUGUAUACCUUGUCUCUUUUGUUAGCCACAUUUCAGAUUAAGCAACGCCGAUGACGGCUUUGUUUUCAAAAAGGGGAGGAUGAUGAGGACAUGACUACCUUGGAUACGACCAAAAAUAUUUCAUACAUGCAUAUUUGUCAGGUCAUUUCUAGUGCAAACUAUUCAAUAAUCUAUUUACGUUAUCCAGAACAAAAAUACUUCACACACUUUUGUGUUUUGUCUAAUUACAGGUGUAUGGGAUAUUUGUACAAUUCACAUAUGAAGAUAAGGGAGAAAUAUAUGUUUAAGUGUUGUUCAAAAAGUUCUCUCACGUCACUUUUGGGCCAAGAGAAGAUAGAGUCCAAGUCUCUCACGUUCUGGAUUCAGAUUCGGACUACACAGACAUACCUGACUCAAAACGCCAACAACUUUUUCAUACGGACUCCGAAUUGGGUGAUUCAUUUUUUCUUGGAUUCUAGAUUUUGUGAUCUUUCCAGCCCAAUUGGAUUCACCUUCAAAUUCGUCCGGAGCGUUGAGAUAUCGACGAAACAAUCAGACGCUGCAGCAGAAUCUGAGUCAAACAACAAGUCCAAAGGUGUUGCAUCACCUCCACUUGGGCCCAUUGGCCUUGUACGACCUAGGGUUAGUUUUAGGCUGCCUUGGGACGUCCUCCCACCUCCUAGGCCGCCACCCCUUGCUCCUAUAUAAGUAGAUCCAUCUGGUAGCUUUUCCCUUGGGAUUUGUUUUGUUAAAAGUUAGCCAUUACAACUUCGUGUACUUCGUUUGUGUCCAACGACCAGACCAAGACCGCUUACGGAUCCCCACCUUUAUCAAUACUUCAUAUAUACUCGCAAUAUUCAGAUUGCUUUUAUCAUAUUCUUGCUUGUUCUUCGAUUGCUUGCAGGAAUAGACCUUCGUGGUCAGGUUGAUCGUGCUCCGGCGUGGUCAAUAACCUCUCGGAGUUGGUUUAGCGAUUGCUAAGGCGCAACGUCGUGCACGUUUGUAGUCGGAUCGUCAAAGUCAUCUUCACCAAAUCGAUAGUUAUCAUCUCAUCGAAAGAUCGGGACACCCCGCCUCUAUCA
Molecule: long non-coding RNA, 4044 nt
Filed under: Triticum aestivum (bread wheat)
Lineage: Eukaryota; Viridiplantae; Streptophyta; Magnoliopsida; Poales; Poaceae
Description: long non-coding RNA (TAES_LNC022388)
Source: RNAcentral